Molecule: long non-coding RNA, 793 nt
Organism: Ceratitis capitata (Mediterranean fruit fly)
Lineage: Eukaryota; Metazoa; Arthropoda; Insecta; Diptera; Tephritidae
Exons: 2
Source: RefSeq, a predicted model, not a curated record
AUACGCGCGAAUGUAAAGUGAAAAGGGGAUGUCAUUUAGACGCGCCAAUAUAAAAAUCAUAUGCUCAUAGAAAACAGAGUCUAGUUAGCCAAUCAAUAUAUGUAGUUCAAAUAAAAAAUACGUAUAAUAAAAAAAAUUAUAAAUUUCUAUUCUUAUGUAUGUAUGUACAUACACAUUUACGUAAUUUUUUAAAAUUUUAGUAUUGGAAAAACGCAAAGAAUUACCUGUAACUAAAUAUGAUUUUGUCUUCAUCCUUUACAACCGACGUAAAGCAAUAGCCAUCCGUUUCGCAUAUGAAAUUUGUGUCCUUGCAUAUAUCACAAUGACAUUUCAGCGGCCCUGUAGUAUAUAAAACGAAAAAGGGGUUAAAGACGACGCGCCGACAAUAGCAUUGAAUGUAUUUUGAAAAAUAAUCCAAGUGAGUAUGUAUAAAAGAGCAUGUGUAUGUACAUAUGCAUAUACAUACAUAUUACAACAGAUAUGUUUGUAAAUAAAUGAAACAAAUGCAAUGACGUAUGUGAAUGUUAAACAGCUGUUACUACUGCACUGAAGGUGGUGCUGGUGGAUAAGUGGAGCCGAAGUGCAGUGAUUUCCGGAAAAAUAUAAAUAAUUUUUGACAAGUAUAUCGAGAGAAUUAUGUAGCAAAAUUACUUUUCUUGCCAAACAGGAAGAUAAAUUUAGCAUUUGCUGAUGAUAAAAAAUCGUUUACGUAGUAUUCAAAUAUUAUGAUAUGGAAAUCGUUUUGUUAUUUAAGUUUACUCGAAAAAUUAAAGCUUUCGUUCUCAAUUUUUUU